GAUUAAGUUAUUAAGGGCGCACGGUGGAUGCCUUGGCACUAGAAGCCGACGAAGGACGUUACUAACGACGAUAUGCUUUGGGGAGCUGUAAGUAAGCUUUGAUCCAGAGAUUUCCGAAUGGGGAAACCCAGCACGAGUUAUGUCGUGUUAUCGAUAUGUGAAUACAUAGCAUAUCUGAAGGCAGACGCGGAGAACUGAAACAUCUUAGUACCCGCAGGAAGAGAAAGAAAAAUCGAUUCCCUGAGUAGCGGCGAGCGAAACGGGAAGAGCCCAAACCAACGAGCUUGCUUGUUGGGGUUGUAGGACACUCUAUACGGAGUUACAAAAGAACAGACUAGACGAAUCAUCUGGAAAGAUGAAUCAAAGAAGGUAAUAAUCCUGUAGUCGAAAGUUUGUUCACUCUUGAGUGGAUCCUGAGUACGACGGAACACGAGAAAUUCCGUCGGAAUCUGGGAGGACCAUCUCCCAAGGCUAAAUACUCUCUAGUGACCGAUAGUGAACCAGUACCGUGAGGGAAAGGUGAAAAGUACCCCGGAAGGGGAGUGAAAUAGAACUUGAAACCGUGUGCUUACAAGUAGUCAGAGCCCGUUAAUGGGUGAUGGCGUGCCUUUUGUAGAAUGAACCGGCGAGUUACGAUUUGAUGCAAGGUUAAGCAGUGAAUGUGGAGCCGUAGCGAAAGCGAGUCUGAAUAGGGCGUUGAGUAUUUGGUCGUAGACCCGAAACCAGGUGAUCUACCCAUGACCAGGUUGAAGUUCAGGUAACACUGAAUGGAGGACCGAACCGACUUACGUUGAAAAGUGAGCGGAUGAGUUGUGGGUAGCGGAGAAAUUCCAAUCGAACCUGGAGAUAGCUGGUUCUCUCCGAAAUAGCUUUAGGGCUAGCCUCAAGUGAUGAUUAUUGGAGGUAGAGCACUGUUUGGACGAGGGGCCCUUAUCGGGUUACCGAAUUCAGACAAACUCCGAAUGCCAAUCAAUUUAACUUGGGAGUCAGAACGCGGGUGAUAAGGUCCGUGUUCGAAAGGGAAACAGCCCAGACCACCAGCUAAGGUCCCAAAAUAUAUGUUAAGUGGAAAAGGAUGUGGCGUUGCCCAGACAACUAGGAUGUUGGCUUAGAAGCAGCCAUCAUUUAAAGAGUGCGUAAUAGCUCACUAGUCGAGUGACACUGCGCCGAAAAUGUACCGGGGCUAAACAUAUUACCGAAGCUGUGGAUUGUCCGUAAGGACAAUGGUAGGAGAGCGUUCUAAGGGCGUUGAAGCAUGAUCGCAAGGACAUGUGGAGCGCUUAGAAGUGAGAAUGCCGGUGUGAGUAGCGAAAGACGGGUGAGAAUCCCGUCCACCGAUUGACUAAGGUUUCCAGAGGAAGGCUCGUCCGCUCUGGGUUAGUCGGGUCCUAAGCUGAGGCCGAUAGGCGUAGGCGAUGGAUAACAGGUUGAUAUUCCUGUACCACCAUUAUUCGUUUUAAGCGAUGGGGGGACGCAGUAGGAUAGGCGAAGCGUACGAUUGGAUUGUACGUCCAAGCAGUGAGAUUGAGUGUUAGGCAAAUCCGGCACUCUUAAGAUUGAGCUGUGAUGGGGAGAGGAAAUUGUUUCCUCGAGUCGUUGAUUUCACACUGCCAAGAAAAGCCUCUAGCUAGAAUUGUGGUGCCCGUACCGCAAACCGACACAGGUAGUCAAGAUGAGAAUUCUAAGGUGAGCGAGCGAACUCUCGUUAAGGAACUCGGCAAAAUGACCCCGUAACUUCGGGAGAAGGGGUGCUCUUUAGGGUUAACGCCCAGGAGAGCCGCAGUGAAUAGGCCCAAGCGACUGUUUAUCAAAAACACAGGUCUCUGCUAAACCGUAAGGUGAUGUAUAGGGGCUGACGCCUGCCCGGUGCUGGAAGGUUAAGAGGAGUGGUUAGCUUCUGCGAAGCUACGAAUCGAAGCCCCAGUAAACGGCGGCCGUAACUAUAACGGUCCUAAGGUAGCGAAAUUCCUUGUCGGGUAAGUUCCGACCCGCACGAAAGGCGUAACGAUUUGGGCACUGUCUCAACGAGAGACUCGGUGAAAUCAUAGUACCUGUGAAGAUGCAGGUUACCCGCGACAGGACGGAAAGACCCCGUGGAGCUUUACUGUAGUCUGAUAUUGAAAUUCGGCACAGCUUGUACAGGAUAGGUAGGAGCCUGAGAUACGUGAGCGCUAGCUUACGUGGAGGCGUUGGUGGGAUACUACCCUCGCUGUGUUGGAUUUCUAACCCGCACCAUUUAUCAUGGUGGGAGACAGUGUCAGAUGGGCAGUUUGACUGGGGCGGUCGCCUCCUAAAGAGUAACGGAGGCGCUCAAAGGUUUCCUCAGAAUGGUUGGAAAUCAUUCAUAGAGUGUAAAGGCAUAAGGAAGCUUGACUGCGAGACUUACAAGUCGAGCAGGGUCGAAAGACGGACUUAGUGAUCCGGUGGUUCCGCAUGGAAGGGCCAUCGCUCAACGGAUAAAAGCUACCCCGGGGAUAACAGGCUUAUCUCCCCCAAGAGUUCACAUCGACGGGGAGGUUUGGCACCUCGAUGUCGGCUCAUCGCAUCCUGGGGCUGUAGUCGGUCCCAAGGGUUGGGCUGUUCGCCCAUUAAAGCGGUACGCGAGCUGGGUUCAGAACGUCGUGAGACAGUUCGGUCCCUAUCCGUCGUGGGCGUAGGAAAUUUGAGAGGAGCUGUCCUUAGUACGAGAGGACCGGGAUGGACAUACCUCUGGUGUACCAGUUGUCGUGCCAACGGCAUCGCUGGGUAGCUAUGUAUGGACGGGAUAAGUGCUGAAAGCAUCUAAGCAUGAAGCCCCCCUCAAGAUGAGAUUUCCCAACUUCGGUUAUAAGAUCCCUCAAAGAUGAUGAGGUUAAUAGGUUCGAGGUGGAAGCAUAGCGAUAUGUGCAGCUGAUGAAUACUAAUCGAUCGAAGACUUAAUCAA
Molecule: ribosomal RNA, 2923 nt
Filed under: Staphylococcus saprophyticus
Lineage: Bacteria; Bacillati; Bacillota; Bacilli; Caryophanales; Staphylococcaceae
Description: 23S ribosomal RNA
Rfam family: Bacterial large subunit ribosomal RNA
Source: RNAcentral